UUGUUUUUCGAUGCUGAACCUCUCUGUGGCCAAAUCGGAGCCAAACCACCAGCCAAUUGGCCGAAAAACAUCGUUGAAGUCCAGCGGCGCCGCCGCAAGUUUCCUCAGUUUUUGUUUCCGAUGAGGCCCUUCCCGGUUUUCGUUCGAUGUAAUUUUUAUACUACUGUAACCACCGUCCUUUUCUCUACAGGUUGACCGGAGCAAAACACCAAAUCGCAACUUGUGCC
RNAcentral lists this long non-coding RNA (227 nucleotides) under Carica papaya (papaya). RNAcentral's name for it is "long non-coding RNA (CPAP_LNC014445)". Lineage: Eukaryota; Viridiplantae; Streptophyta; Magnoliopsida; Brassicales; Caricaceae. The record is from RNAcentral.